Molecule: ribosomal RNA, 408 nt
Filed under: Listeria monocytogenes
Lineage: Bacteria; Bacillati; Bacillota; Bacilli; Caryophanales; Listeriaceae
Description: partial 23S ribosomal RNA
Rfam family: Bacterial large subunit ribosomal RNA
Source: RNAcentral
CACGGUGGAUGCCUUGGCACUAGGAGCCGAAGAAGGACGGGACUAACACCGAUAUGCUUUGGGGAGCUGUACGUAAGCGUUGAUCCAGAGAUUUCCGAAUGGGGGAACCCACUAUCUUUAGUCGGAUAGUAUCCUUACGUGAAUACAUAGCGUGAGGAAGGCAGACCCAGGGAACUGAAACAUCUAAGUACCUGGAGGAAGAGAAAGAAAAAUCGAUUUCCUGAGUAGCGGCGAGCGAAACGGAAAGAGCCCAAACCAAGAAGCUUGCUUCUUGGGGUUGUAGGACACUCUAUACGGAGUUACAAAAGAAAGUUAUAAAUGAAGCGGUCUGGAAAGGCCCGCCAAAGACGGUAACAGCCCGGUAGUUGAAAUGGCUUUCCCUCCAGAGUGGAUCCUGAGUACGGCGGA